This is an unclassified non-coding RNA of Homo sapiens (human), 115 nucleotides long. The record is from Ensembl. Lineage: Eukaryota; Metazoa; Chordata; Mammalia; Primates; Hominidae.
GGCUGGACCAAAGGUAGUGAGUUAUCUCAAAAUUGAUUGUUCGCAGUCAAUUACAGAUCGAACUCUUUGUUCUACCCUUUCCCCCUUCCUCACUACUGCACUUGACUAGUCUUAA